AGAAGCAACUCGACCGCGCACCGGCGGUUGGUCAUGGAGGAAGAGUCCAUCUUGUUGUGUGUCUCCCCUCCCAAAAUCAACGGCGGAAAGUCACUGGCACUCGGUGUAGUAGUAUUAUUCGCCGAUCGCCCAGUGUUGUUCCUGCCACCCAAACCCCCACAAUUCUCUC
This 169-nucleotide unclassified non-coding RNA is filed under the name Geopora cervina. RNAcentral describes it as "partial internal transcribed spacer 2". Lineage: Eukaryota; Fungi; Ascomycota; Pezizomycetes; Pezizales; Pyronemataceae. The record is from RNAcentral.